RNAcentral lists this ribosomal RNA (272 nucleotides) under Escherichia coli. RNAcentral's name for it is "partial 16S ribosomal RNA". It matches the Rfam family "Bacterial small subunit ribosomal RNA", at positions 1 to 269 of the family's 1533-position model. The record is from RNAcentral. Lineage: Bacteria; Pseudomonadati; Pseudomonadota; Gammaproteobacteria; Enterobacterales; Enterobacteriaceae.
AAAUUGAAGAGUUUGAUCAUGGCUCAGAUUGAACGCUGGCGGCAGGCCUAACACAUGCAAGUCGAACGGUAACAGGAAGCAGCUUGCUGCUUCGCUGACGAGUGGCGGACGGGUGAGUAAUGUCUGGGAAACUGCCUGAUGGAGGGGGAUAACUACUGGAAACGGUAGCUAAUACCGCAUAAUGUCGCAAGACCAAAGAGGGGGACCUUCGGGCCUCUUGCCAUCGGAUGUGCCCAGAUGGGAUUAGCUUGUUGGUGGGGUAAUGGCUCACC